AUGCGAAAGUUACGCAUAACUACCGNAUACGAUCCUAANGAUGAAAGUGGCGGGAUCGCANGACCUCAUGCUCNUGGAGCGGCCGAUAUCUGAUUACCAUAGUUGGUAGGGUAAAAGCCUACCAAGGUANUCGAUCAGUAGCUGGUCUGAGAGGACGACCAGCCACACUGGAACUGAGACACGGUCCAGACUCCUACGGGAGGCAGCAGUGGGGAAUUUUGGACAAUGGGCGAAAGCCUGAUCCAGCAAUGCCGCGUGAGUGAAGAAGGCCUUCGGGUUGUAAAGCUCUUUUGUCAGGGAAGAAACGGUGANAGCUAAUAUCUUUUGCUAAUGACGGUACCUGAAGAAUAAGCACCGGCUAACUACGUGCCAGCAGCCGCGGUAAUACGUAGGGUGCAAGCGUUAAUCGGAAUUACUGGGCGUAAAGCGUGCGCAGGCGGUUUUGUAAGUCUGAUGUGAAAUCCCCGGGCUCAACCUGGGAAUUGCAUUGGAGACUGCAAGGCUAGAAUCUGGCAGAGGGGGGUAGAAUUCCACGUGUAGCAGUGAAAUGCGUAGAUAUGUGGAGGAACACCGAUGGCGAAGGCAGCCCCCUGGGUCAAGAUUGACGCUCAUGCACGAAAGCGUGGGGAGCAAACAGGAUUAGAUACCCUGGUAGUCCACGCCCUAAACGAUGUCUACUANUUGUCNGGGUCUAAUUGACUUGGUAACGCAGCUAACGCGUGAAGUA
RNAcentral lists this ribosomal RNA (727 nucleotides) under Janthinobacterium sp. RNAcentral's name for it is "bacterial SSU rRNA". It matches the Rfam family "Bacterial small subunit ribosomal RNA", at positions 146 to 866 of the family's 1533-position model. Lineage: Bacteria; Pseudomonadati; Pseudomonadota; Betaproteobacteria; Burkholderiales; Oxalobacteraceae. The record is from RNAcentral.